RNAcentral lists this long non-coding RNA (571 nucleotides) under Ananas comosus (pineapple). RNAcentral's name for it is "long non-coding RNA (ACOM_LNC027002)". The record is from RNAcentral. Lineage: Eukaryota; Viridiplantae; Streptophyta; Magnoliopsida; Poales; Bromeliaceae.
CGCAGGCUACUGUCUGGCCUAUGCCAUAAUAAUAUCUCAUAGCCUAAUUAACCUCUGGAGUGGCACUCGCGGGGCGCUACCCCAACCGAGUAUAGUAUUACUGUCAAACUCAAAAUAGGAUGUAGACUGUAGUCAAAUACGAUUAUCAAAUAGAUCAUAACAAUACUGUCAUAGUAUCCCAAAUACAAUUAUAAUCCCACACUAUCUGUCACUCCUAAAAAUAUGCAUAUCUUAAUAAACUCUACAGCUAGGUGUUAAAAUACUAUUAUUAUCUCAACUAUGUCAAUAGUUCAUCUUAUAGGCUAAAUAAUAUUAUAUAGACAUAAAAGUUAGUCCGCCAAUUUUGACAACACGGAAUCCACCUAUAUCGCAAAUUCAAGGAACAAAACGAUCAUCGGGAUAGUGAGAUGAUAAGCUACUGCUCCCCUAGCCUGAACGAUAGCCACGAAAUCAGCUCCUAAAACAUAUAAAAAAUAGUUUCUAACACUUAAUUUUUACCAUAAAUUCAUCAAAAGAGUCUAAACGAAACAAAUAACAAUAUUAUGAUACUAACUGCGACGUCGAAACACCG